RNAcentral lists this ribosomal RNA (447 nucleotides) under uncultured bacterium. RNAcentral's name for it is "partial 16S ribosomal RNA". It matches the Rfam family "Bacterial small subunit ribosomal RNA", at positions 330 to 793 of the family's 1533-position model. The record is from RNAcentral.
UCCAGACUCCUACGGGAGGCAGCAGUGGGGGAUAUUGCACAAUGGGGGGAACCCUGAUGCAGCGACGCCGCGUGGGUGAAGGAGCGUUUCGGCGCGUAAAGCCCUAUCGGCAGGGAAGAAGAUGACGGUACCUGACCAAGAAGCCCCGGCUAACUACGUGCCAGCAGCCGCGGUAAUACGUAGGGGGCAAGCGUUAUCCGGAUUUACUGGGUGUAAAGGGGGCGCAGACGGCAAUGCAAGCCAGGAGUGAAAGCCCGGGGCUCAACCCCGGGACUGCAUUGGGAACUGCCCCGCUCGAGUGCCGGAGGGGCAGGCGGAAUUCCUAGUGUAGCGGUGAAAUGCGUAGAUAUUAGGAGGAACACCAGUGGCGAAGGCGGCCUGCUGGACGGUGUACUGACGCUGAGGCUCGAAAGCGUGGGGAGCAAACAGGAUUAGAUACCCUUGUAU